UUUUGCCUUCAAUAAAGAGCUAAGCUGUGACUCCUGCCUUAAAAUUCUGUCAAAAUUGUGAAUGCUGGUUUUGAAUUACUUUGCUACCUGAAGAUUGUUGUCAAAGUGACUGUUUCUUCUAAGGAAAGGAGAGCAUAGCUGAAAGCAAGAAUUCAAAGGAAAUAGAACUGUGAGUGAA
This 178-nucleotide long non-coding RNA is filed under the name Serinus canaria (Common canary). RNAcentral describes it as "lncRNA (ENSSCAG00000015852.1)". The record is from RNAcentral. Lineage: Eukaryota; Metazoa; Chordata; Aves; Passeriformes; Fringillidae.